Molecule: ribosomal RNA, 429 nt
Filed under: Chloroflexota bacterium
Lineage: Bacteria; Bacillati; Chloroflexota
Description: Chloroflexi bacterium partial 16S ribosomal RNA
Rfam family: Bacterial small subunit ribosomal RNA
Source: RNAcentral
UGGGGAAUAUUGCACAAUGGGCGCAAGCCUGAUGCAGCCAUGCCGCGUGUAUGAAGAAGGCCUUCGGGUUGUAAAGUACUUUCAGUCGGGAGGAAGGUGUCAAGGUUAAUAACCUUGGCAAUUGACGUUACCGACAGAAGAAGCACCGGCUAACUCCGUGCCAGCAGCCGCGGUAAUACGGAGGGUGCAAGCGUUAAUCGGAAUUACUGGGCGUAAAGCGCACGCAGGCGGUUGAUUGAGUCAGAUGUGAAAUCCCCGGGCUUAACCCGGGAAUUGCAUCUGAUACUGGUCAGCUGGAGUCUCGUAGAGGGGGGUAGAAUUCCAGGUGUAGCGGUGAAAUGCGUAGAGAUCUGGAGGAAUACCGGUGGCGAAGGCGGCCCCCUGGACGAAGACUGACGCUCAGGUGCGAAAGCGUGGGGAGCAAACAGG